GACGAACGCUGGCGGCGUGCUUAACACAUGCAAGUCGAACGGAAAGGCCCUGCUUUUGUGGGGUGCUCGAGUGGCGAACGGGUGAGUAACACGUGAGUAACCUGCCCUUGACUUUGGGAUAACUUCAGGAAACUGGGGCUAAUACCGGAUAGGAGCUCCUGCUGCAUGGUGGGGGUUGGAAAGUUUCGGCGGUUGGGGAUGGACUCGCGGCUUAUCAGCUUGUUGGUGGGGUAGUGGCUUACCAAGGCUUUGACGGGUAGCCGGCCUGAGAGGGUGACCGGCCACAAUGGGACUGAGAGACGGCCCAGACUCCUACGGGAGGCAGCAGUGGGGAAUAUUGCACAGUGGGCGGAAGCCUGAUGCAGCAACGCCGCGUGCGGGAUGACGGCCUGCGGGUUGUAAACCGCUUCCGCCUGUGACGAAGCGUGAGUGACGGUAAUGGGUAAAGAAGCACCGGCUAACUACGUG
RNAcentral lists this ribosomal RNA (468 nucleotides) under uncultured bacterium. Its description in RNAcentral is "partial 16S ribosomal RNA". It matches the Rfam family "Bacterial small subunit ribosomal RNA", at positions 28 to 507 of the family's 1533-position model. The record is from RNAcentral.